GGCACUGUGGUGUAGUUAUUAUCACAUCUGCCUAACACACAGAAGGUCCCCAGUUCGAGCCUGAGUGGUGUCA
Molecule: transfer RNA, 73 nt
Filed under: Hofstenia miamia
Lineage: Eukaryota; Metazoa; Xenacoelomorpha; Acoela; Hofsteniidae
Description: tRNA-Val for anticodon AAC
Source: RNAcentral